UCCAGACUCCUACGGGAGGCAGCAGUGAGGAAUAUUGGUCAAUGGGCGGAAGCCUGAACCAGCCAAGUCGCGUGAGGGAAGAAGGCCCUGCGGGUCGCAGACCUCUUUGGACGGGGAGCAAGGCCGCCGACGUGUCGGCGGAAGGAGGGUACCCGUAGAACAAGCAUCGGCUAACUCCGUGCCAGCAGCCGCGGUAAUACGUAGGUGGCAAGCGUUAUCCGGAUUUAUUGGGUGUAAAGGGCGUGUAGGCGGGAACGCAAGUCAGAUGUGAAAACUCAGGGCUCAACCCUGAGCCUGCAUUUGAAACUGUGCUUCUUGAGUGCUGGAGAGGCAAUCGGAAUUCCGUGUGUAGCGGUGAAAUGCGUAGAUAUACGGAGGAACACCAGUGGCGAAGGCGGAUUGCUGGACAGUAACUGACGCUGAGGCGCGAAAGCGUGGGGAGCAAACAGGAUUAGAUACCCCGGUA
This 466-nucleotide ribosomal RNA is filed under the name uncultured bacterium. Its description in RNAcentral is "bacterial SSU rRNA". It matches the Rfam family "Bacterial small subunit ribosomal RNA", at positions 330 to 792 of the family's 1533-position model. The record is from RNAcentral.